Molecule: transfer RNA, 72 nt
Filed under: Camelus bactrianus (Bactrian camel)
Lineage: Eukaryota; Metazoa; Chordata; Mammalia; Artiodactyla; Camelidae
Also listed under: 1 other name
Rfam family: tRNA
About the family: Transfer RNA (tRNA) molecules are approximately 80 nucleotides in length.
Source: Rfam by way of RNAcentral
GAGGGUGUAGCUCAGUGGUAGAGUGUGUGCUUAGCACUCACAAGAUCCUGGGUUCAAUCCCUAGUACUGCCU